UACGUAGGUGACCAGCGUUGUCCGGAUUUACUGGGCGUAAAGAGCGCGCAGGCGGUCGUUCAAGUCGAGUGUGAAAGCCCCCGGCUCAACUGUGGAGGGUCACUCGAUACUGAUCGACUUGAAGGCAGGAGAGGGAAGCGGAAUUCCCGGUGUAGUGGUGAAAUGCGUAGAUAUCGGGAGGAACACCAGUGGCGAAGGCGGCUUCCUGGCCUGUUCUUGACGCUGAGGCGCGAAAGCGUGGGGAGCGAACAGG
RNAcentral lists this ribosomal RNA (253 nucleotides) under uncultured bacterium. RNAcentral's name for it is "partial 16S ribosomal RNA". It matches the Rfam family "Bacterial small subunit ribosomal RNA", at positions 524 to 776 of the family's 1533-position model. The record is from RNAcentral.